UACGUAGGGUGCAAGCGUUAAUCGGAGUUACUGGGCGUAAAGCGUGCGUAGACGGUUACAUAAGUCGGGUGUGAAAGCCCCGGGCUCAACCUGGGAAUUGCAUUCGAGACUGCGUAGCUAGGGUGCGGAAGAGGGAAGCGGAAUUUCCGGUGUAGCGGUGAAAUGCGUAGAUAUCGGAAGGAACCCCAGUUGCGAAAGCGGCUUCCUGGUCCAGCCCCGACGUUCAAGCACGAAAGCGUUGGGAGCAAACAGG
RNAcentral lists this ribosomal RNA (253 nucleotides) under uncultured bacterium. RNAcentral describes it as "partial 16S ribosomal RNA". It matches the Rfam family "Bacterial small subunit ribosomal RNA", at positions 524 to 776 of the family's 1533-position model. The record is from RNAcentral.